Molecule: ribosomal RNA, 2213 nt
Filed under: Lactobacillus delbrueckii subsp. bulgaricus
Lineage: Bacteria; Bacillati; Bacillota; Bacilli; Lactobacillales; Lactobacillaceae
Description: partial 23S ribosomal RNA
Rfam family: Bacterial large subunit ribosomal RNA
Source: RNAcentral
UGACGCAGACCCGAAACCAAGUGACCUACCCAUGACCAGGUUGAAGGCGCGGUAAAACGCGCUGGAGGACCGAACCCACGUAAGUUGAAAAUUGCGGGGAUGAGUUGUGGGUAGCGGUGAAAUUCCAAACGAACUUGGAGAUAGCUGGUUCUCUCCGAAAUAGCUUUAGGGCUAGCCUCGCAAAGAGGAUGCUGGAGGUAGAGCUCUGUUUGGACUAGGGGCCCGUCAAGGGUUACUGAAUUCAGAUAAACUGCGAAUUCCAGACAUUUAUGUGCGGGAGUCAGACUGCGAGUGAUAAGAUCCGUAGUCGAAAGGGAAACAGCCCAGAUCACCAGUUAAGGUCCCAAAAUUCAUGCUAAGUGGAAAAGGAUGUGGAGUUGCGCAGACAACUAGGACGUUGGCUCAGAAGCAGCCAUCAUUCAAAGAGUGCGUAAUAGCUCACUAGUCGAGUGACGCCGCGCCGAAAAUUUACCGGGGCUAAGCAUGAUACCGAAACUGUGGAUGUGCGUUUAUGCACGUGGUAGGAGAGCGUUCUAGCGGCGGUGAAGCAUGACCGAGAGGACAUGUGGAGCUUCUAGAAGUGAGAAUGCCGGUAUGAGUAACGAAAGACAGGUGAGAAUCCUGUCCGCCGCAAGACUAAGGUUUCCUGGGGCAGGCUCGUCCGCCCAGGGUAAGUCGGGACCUAAGGCGAGGCCGAGAGGCGUAGUCGAUGGACAACAGGUUGAAAUUCCUGUACUGCACCGAAUCGUUAUGAGCGAUGGAGGGACGCAGGAGGCUAGCAGCGCGUGGUGCUGGAUACCACGUUCAAGCGUCAAGUCUGAGAGCGAGUCAAAUGCUUGCUCUCAUAAGGACAAGGCGUGAUGAGGAGCGAAAUUAAAGUAGCGAAGGCUGCGACGUCACACUGCCGAGAAAAGCUUCUAGCCAGAGACGGUGCACCCGUACCGCAAACCGACACAGGUAGUCGAGGAGAGUAUCCUCAGGUGAGCGAGAGAACUCUCGUUAAGGAACUCGGCAAAAUGGCCCCGUAACUUCGGGAGAAGGGGCGCUGGUCGCAAGAUCAGCCGCAGUGAAAAGGCCCAAGCAACUGUUUAUCAAAAACACAGGCAUCUGCAAAAUCGUAAGAUGAAGUAUAGGUGCUGACACCUGCCCGGUGCUGGAAGGUUAAGAGGAGAGCUUAGCGCAAGCGAAGGUUUGAAUUGAAGCCCCAGUAAACGGCGGCCGUAACUAUAACGGUCCUAAGGUAGCGAAAUUCCUUGUCGGGUAAGUUCCGACCUGCACGAAAGGUGUAAUGAUUUGGGCACUGUCUCAACGAGAGACUCGGUGAAAUUAUAAUACCCGUGAAGAUGCGGGUUACCCGCGACAGGACGGAAAGACCCCAUGGAGCUUUACUGCAGUUUAAUAUUGGGUAUCUGUCAAGCAUGUACAGGAUAGGUAGGAGCCGGAGAAGAUAGGACGCCAGUCUUAUCUGAGGCGCUGUUGGGAUACUACCCUUGCUUGACGGAUGCUCUAACUCAGGCCUGUGAUCCAGGCCGAGGACAGUGUUUGACGGGCAGUUUGACUGGGGCGGUCGCCUCCUAAAGUGUAACGGAGGCGCCCAAAGGUUCCCUCAGAAUGGUUGGAAAUCAUUCGCAGAGUGUAAAGGUAAAAGGGAGCUUGACUGCGAGAGAGACAACUCGAGCAGGUACGAAAGUAGGGCUUAGUGAUCUGGUGGUACCGUAUGGAAGGGCCAUCACUCAACGGAUAAAAGCUACCCUGGGGAUAACAGGCUUAUCUCCCCCAAGAGUUCACAUCGACGGGGAGGUUUGGCACCUCGAUGUCGGCUCGUCGCAUCCUGGGGCUGAAGUCGGUCCCAAGGGUUGGGCUGUUCGCCCAUUAAAGCGGCACGCGAGCUGGGUUCAGAACGUCGUGAGACAGUUCGGUCCCUAUCCGUCGUGGGCGUAGGAAAUUUGAGAGGAGCUGUCCUUAGUACGAGAGGACCGGGAUGGACGCACCGCUGGUGUACCAGUUGUCUUGCCAAAGGCAUCGCUGGGUAGCUAUGUGCGGACGGGAUAAGCGCUGAAAGCAUCUAAGUGCGAAGCCCCCCUCAAGAUGAGAUUUCCCAUUUCUUCAAGAAAGUAAGACACCUCAGAGACGAUGAGGUAGAUAGGCCGGGAGUGGAAGAGCCGUGAGGCUUGGAGCGGACCGGUACUAAUCAGUCGAGGACUUGACCAAAA